This 66-nucleotide transfer RNA is filed under the name Zelandoperla fenestrata. RNAcentral's name for it is "tRNA-Leu". Lineage: Eukaryota; Metazoa; Arthropoda; Insecta; Plecoptera; Gripopterygidae. The record is from RNAcentral.
UCUAAUGUGGCAGAUAAGUGCCAUGGAUUUAAGCUCCAUAUAUAAAGGUUUUUCCUUUCAUUAGAA